Molecule: ribosomal RNA, 254 nt
Filed under: uncultured bacterium
Lineage: Bacteria
Description: partial 16S ribosomal RNA
Rfam family: Bacterial small subunit ribosomal RNA
Source: RNAcentral
UACGUAGGGUGCAAGCGUUGUCCGGAAUUAUUGGGCGUAAAGAGCUCGUAGGCGGUCUGUCGCGUCUGCUGUGAAAACUCGGGGCUUAACCCCGAGCCUGCAGUGGAUACGGGCAGACUAGAGGUAGGUAGGGGAGAAUGGAAUUCCCGGUGUAGCGGUGAAAUGCGCAGAUAUCGGGAGGAACACCGGUGGCGAAGGCGGUUCUCUGGGCAUUACCUGACGCUGAGGAGCGAAAGCAUGGGGAGCGAACAGGG